AGAGAAAUAGCUCAGUGGUAGAGCGCAUGCUUAGCAUGCAUGAGGUCCUGGGUUCAAUCCCCAGUACCUCCA
This 72-nucleotide transfer RNA is filed under the name Camelus bactrianus (Bactrian camel). It matches the Rfam family "tRNA". From Rfam's summary of the family: Transfer RNA (tRNA) molecules are approximately 80 nucleotides in length. Lineage: Eukaryota; Metazoa; Chordata; Mammalia; Artiodactyla; Camelidae. The record is from Rfam by way of RNAcentral. RNAcentral also lists the same sequence under 2 other names.